Molecule: long non-coding RNA, 333 nt
Filed under: Populus trichocarpa (black cottonwood)
Lineage: Eukaryota; Viridiplantae; Streptophyta; Magnoliopsida; Malpighiales; Salicaceae
Description: long non-coding RNA (PTRI_LNC001008)
Source: RNAcentral
CCGCUGCAUGAUAGAUGUGCCUCGCUAGUUAGAGACCGCAAAGAGAUAAUAGAGAGUGGGUGGGAUUUAUCAAAGAGAGAUUGGGCCACAGUUUGUUUGCAAUCACUGAACUGAGCUAGUUUUGAGGUGGGGGUGGGUGCCUGUGACAUUAUCAUGUGAAAUGGUCUCCGAGGUCUGAACAGAGUCUUCCAGCACAUGAGUUGUUUAGCUAGUGCCGGCCAAAAUAUAUACUGAUCACCCGCCUGUAAAUCUUGACAGGCCUGCAGGGGAGGAGGUCACUGUCGCUGUACAAUGGAUCUUCUGUAAGCAUCUCUAAACUGAUUCUGAAUUGGC